ACUCCUACGGGGCGCAGCAGCCGCGGUAAUACGUAGGGGGCAAGCGUUAUCCGGAUUUACUGGGUGUAAAGGGAGCGCAGACGGCUGUGCAAGUCUGGAGUGAAAGGCGGGGGCCCAACCCCCGGACUGCUCUGGAAACUGUAAAGCUGGAGUGCAGGAGAGGUAAGCGGAAUUCCUAGUGUAGCGGUGAAAUGCGUAGAUAUUAGGAGGAACACCAGUGGCGAAGGCGGCUUACUGGACUGCAACUGACGUUGAGGCUCGAAAGCGUGGGGAGCAAACAGGAUUAGAAACCCCUGUAGUCCAGA
RNAcentral lists this ribosomal RNA (305 nucleotides) under uncultured bacterium. RNAcentral's name for it is "bacterial SSU rRNA". It matches the Rfam family "Bacterial small subunit ribosomal RNA", at positions 497 to 799 of the family's 1533-position model. The record is from RNAcentral.